AACAAACUGUCCUACCAUUAAGUUUCCGUGAAAAAUAUGUUAUAAACGGUUACAAAAGUUCACAAAAUCGAGAACAACACACCGGCUCACAUGAACACCACCCACCACCAUCACCAUUCGUCUCUUGUUUCAACGGGGAGACACCAUCCGCAUGUCGUCUCAAGGAUUUUGGUUCACUUGUAAGCUUACUACAUCAUCUUUGUAUCCUGCAACGGUUUUCUACUUAAUCAAUUCAAUCAUGACAAGUCCCUUUCGCCACAUUAAAAAAAGUUUAUUUCUUUGAGUUAUUUGCUAACAAAUCUCAUUUUAUGGCUCCGGGUUCGUCACAUCAAUCUAAAGCGUCCUGAAGCUCCUAAAAGCUUCAUGCCAAACAUACCCCAAAUGGGUUAUCUUAUGGAAAAAAUUGUUCAAGAAUCUUGUGUAAUCACAACCGGAUGAACCUGGAAAGUCAAAUAGGGAACUUGUAAUAGACAAGGCAAGAAGUCAAGAGCUUCCCUUGGACCAGAGCCUUGGAGAACUUUACACAACUUAUUAUUUACAUUAUAGGCGGGAAUUGGUUUUUGAAGGCUCUUUGGGAUUUUAAUCUUGCUAGUUUGGGUGUGCAUCGGUCGUUAACCAGGAUGCAUGUAGCCAAGGGAAAACCAAUUGGUGAAACUGUUAACGUAAUGGAGAAAGAUAAGAUCGAUAUGGAUGAUGAAAUUAUCACCCUCGUUCAAGCUUAACAAACUGGUGCAUUGUCAUACAUAUGCAAAAGACAAGAAGAAAUUAAGGGAUCAAGAGUUUGUGAUUUCAGGGUUUUUGAAGAUGUGUUUCACUUUUUGCCAGA
This is a long non-coding RNA of Erigeron canadensis, 826 nucleotides long. RefSeq lists it as uncharacterized. The transcript has 3 exons. Lineage: Eukaryota; Viridiplantae; Streptophyta; Magnoliopsida; Asterales; Asteraceae. The record is from RefSeq and is a predicted model, not a curated record.